CCGAAUUUAUUUAUUUUUUCUAAAUUUUGAUGCUCACAGACAUGAAUUUAAUUAAACUCAAUUCUCCUAUUUUAAAGAAAUAAAAUUUUGGGUGUUACAAGUUAUUGGCAAGAAGCCGGUCUGAGCACGUGAGGUGACGUGGCCACGUACAGACGCUGGUCGACGGCGCUGCAGCAGAGCUGCUGCUCCGGCGGAGGGCGCCUACUACCUCGGCAGAGGCGCUUGUGAUAGUGGUCUUCCCCAUAGACGCUCUAAGUAGCCCGAAAAGAGCUCGCCGAAAGAGUUGUUGGAGUUGGCCGGUGGCGACAAGAAGAGAGAAAUUUAAAAUUUACUGCACAAUGGAUUUUCCAAACUAGGGGCUUCCCAUAUG
RNAcentral lists this long non-coding RNA (370 nucleotides) under Sorghum bicolor (sorghum). Its description in RNAcentral is "long non-coding RNA (SBIC_LNC012561)". The record is from RNAcentral. Lineage: Eukaryota; Viridiplantae; Streptophyta; Magnoliopsida; Poales; Poaceae.